RNAcentral lists this ribosomal RNA (732 nucleotides) under Triticum aestivum (bread wheat). RNAcentral's name for it is "partial small subunit ribosomal RNA". The record is from RNAcentral. Lineage: Eukaryota; Viridiplantae; Streptophyta; Magnoliopsida; Poales; Poaceae.
AUGUGUCUCCUUCCACCCCAAUCGGAGGCAGCAGAGGCGGAGAGGCACGUCGCGCCGCCACAUCCGGAGAGGGAGGGGCAGGCGAACGGACAUCACGUUGGAUGUGCUUCGCAGUUAAUCUGGGUUCUUUCUUCACUGUCGGUGAGGGUGUCGCCUAGGGGCGGCGGGGGCAGGGGGUCGCCGGUGGGCGACCUAUGGGAUAUGGCAGCGGACGCGAGAAGGGGUGAGGGGCCCGGGAGCCACAACGGGAGCCACGAGAGCGAGUUGGACUUGGCCAUGCUCGUCAGCGACUGCCUCAAGGGUAACGGCGGCGAGGACCCGGGCUCCCCGACCUCGGCCACUUCGCAGACAAGAUCAAGGUAUAUGUACAAGAAAGCAGGAGUUGAGAAAGAAAACAAGCUGCUCUCCAUUGUUCACUCCCUCUUCUCGAUCCACGAGACAUGGCUCCAGGUUUUUGUAAGAGGCCAAUGUACUGGCAGCUGUAGUCGCCAUCUACUCAUGAAGCUCCUUAGUUACUCAAGAUACGACACGGCGGUGAACAUGAGUACAUUGAAUAUUAGUGGACUUGGAUCAUCUUAUGAAAUCCAUGGAAUCCUUGUGGUAUUUAUUUCUCCAGGUAUGGCAAAAGUCAUGGAGUCUUUACUAUUUGUGCAUUGGCAUUCUCAAAAGAUAAUUGAUGGGUUUGUACUUUGUCCUUUUGUUUAUAGAGAAGGGGCCAUUUCCAGAGUAUGA